RNAcentral lists this long non-coding RNA (1289 nucleotides) under Phoenix dactylifera (date palm). RNAcentral's name for it is "long non-coding RNA (PDAC_LNC015138)". The record is from RNAcentral. Lineage: Eukaryota; Viridiplantae; Streptophyta; Magnoliopsida; Arecales; Arecaceae.
GAGCACGGAUUUCAAAGCAUGAAUAAUGACGAGUACAGAUUUCAAAGCAUGGGAUAAUGACAAAAGUUUUAUAAUGCAUAGCCAUGUUUAUGAAGUUGCAUAAAUGGACAUGCAUAGUUUUAUGACUGGUUUGUUAUAUGAAAUGCUUACUUUGUUACAACUGUUAGUUUCUUAAAUUAAUGCACUAGUAUGAGAAAAUAUUAUGAUUGAUCAGAUAAGAUUAUGCAUGGUUACUUACUGAGCUUUAUAGCUCAUACCCAUUUAUUUAUGUUCUUACAGAUGAAUAGGAGAUGCUAGGAACGAGGAGCGUGACAUGCUUCAGGGUUAUGGGGAAAAGAAAAUGACACAUUAAAUGUUUCUAUUUUUAGAUGCUUUGUAAUCAAUUUUUUAUUGAUGAAACAUUUGUUAACAUUCAAGAAAGAAAUUGUUCAUAAUUGAUUUAAAGUUUUAAAGUGGCUGCGUGUUAUUGCGGGUAAGGGUUCGCAAUAGCACGGCCUGUCAUGAACCGAAUUUGGGGCGUGACAUUUAGUGGUAUCAGAGCAAUAAGUUUAACCAUGAUUUAAAUACUUUUAAAAUUAAUCAUGGGAAUGGGUAGCUAAGUUAGCUUUCACAUAAUUGGAGUCACAGUAAGAUUGUAAUAACCCCCAAUUUUUUUUUUAUAUAUAAAAAGGGAUAGAAUAGUCCUUUAAAAUUGAUAUAAGGGGUAAAAUUGGAAGAAAUCAAAAGAUAAUGGCAUAGUUGUAGAUGCAUUGAAGUGGUAAGGGUAAAAUUGGAAGGAAUCAAAAGUUAAUGGCAUAACGGUAGAUAUGUUGAAGUGUUAGGGGCAAAAUGGGAAUUUAAUAAUAUUAAACAAAAGGGUGAAUAGUAUCUUGAUGUGAUUUAAUUGGAGGGUUUGCUGUAGCUUUGGAAUGAAACCGAGAGACAGAGAGGGGGGGGUUCUCAGACGGCAACAGAGAGGAAAAAAAAAAGAAGGAGAGGAAAGGAAAGGAAGAAAGGAAGAGGAAGAAGAAGAAGAAAAAGAAAAGGAAGGAGAUCCCGGUUGCGCUGCCAGUUGAAGGAAAAAACGUAGAUCUCCUUCCCCUCUACGCAAGGACCUCGAUUUCCAAAAAGAAAAAGGUAAAUAUCCAUCCCUAUCUAGUUUUUUGAUGACAUUAGGCUAUACAAAGGGUGGAUAUAGUCUAGAGGGGUCGGAUAAGGGUUGUAGAGGUGGUUAAAAGAAGAAGAAUCGGAUUUUGACAAAUUUUUCCGGCACUACGGAAAAACUGUGUCGAAGUCCCAACUUCGGCAAA